RNAcentral lists this ribosomal RNA (414 nucleotides) under uncultured microorganism. RNAcentral describes it as "bacterial SSU rRNA". It matches the Rfam family "Archaeal small subunit ribosomal RNA", at positions 459 to 872 of the family's 1478-position model. The record is from RNAcentral.
CAGCCGCCGCGGUAAUACCGGCGGCCCGAGUGGUGGCCGCUAUUAUUGGGCCUAAAGCGUCCGUAGCCGGGCCCGUAAGUCCCUGGCGAAAUCCCACGGCUCAACCGUGGGGCUUGCUGGGGAUACUGCGGGCCUUGGGACCGGGAGAGGCGGGGGGGACCCCUGGGGGAGGGGGGAAAUCCUAUAAUCCCAGGGGGACCGCCAGUGGCGAAGGCGCCCCGCUGGAACGGGUCCGACGGUGAGGGACGAAGGCCAGGGGAGCAAACCGGAUUAGAUACCCGGGUAGUCCUGGCGGUAAAGGAUGCGGGCUAGGUGUCGGGUGAGCUUCGGGCUCGCCCGGUGCCGUAGGGAAGCCGUUAAGCCCGCCGCCUGGGGAGUACGGCCGCAAGGCUGAAACUUAAAGGAAUUGGCGGG